This is a non-coding RNA of Branchiostoma floridae (Florida lancelet), 46 nucleotides long. The record is from Rfam. Lineage: Eukaryota; Metazoa; Chordata; Leptocardii; Amphioxiformes; Branchiostomatidae.
ACCCCGGCCCUUUUCAGGGCCACCCAAAUAUCCAAAAAAGAGCUGU